GUAAUCACCGGCGGCUCUUCCUAUGUUGUGGGUCGUACCUAAAAUAAAGCCCUUCCCUCUCUAACUGACUGAUAACUGUUCGAUUACCUUUUUAAUCAAUUAUCAUUUUAUUAACGUCGCCCUUUUCCCCCCUCACAUCAAGUAAUUCUUCGUGCACAUGCUGUUCGUUGGGGCCACCCGCGUCACUGAAGCAUUUCACUGUUGGAGGCCACGCUCCAGUCGUUCUGGCUGCACCGAACCCGUUCUUCUGUUGAGCGCUCUUCUGUGUCGCUGUACUGCAAAGCCGUGGCAUACUCUUCGGCACUCUGUCACCUUUCCCACCCACAAACUGUCGACCACACGAGGUAGCUUCCCCUUUUCUUCAUCAUUGGUCGGUACGUGGAAUUCUUUGAUCCACUGUCACACUAUUCCGCCGUGCCCACCCCGAGACACUUUGGAACCCCGCACUGCGUCAGUAAUUCACCCACUACUGUUAAUUGCACUUAACUCUGACCAACUAGUGAUCGCCCGAUUGAACAAUGGCCGGUCGUUCCACCGGGCCCACCCCGAGACACAUUGGAACAACGCUUGAUUGUUCUCGAAAUUUCUGUGCUAAUCGAACACUGGGGUAGCCUGACUACCGACUACAACUCGGACUAGGUACGGUGGGGAUUGUCGCUCGCGAUAACUUUGGCCAGUUCGUGAUUACGUCGAUCGAAUAACGGCCCGUCGUUCCGCCGGGUCCAACCCGAGACACUUUGGAACAACGCUUCGAAUGUUCCCGAAACUUUUUGGCCUUCACACUGACCGUCUACUUGGGCGCUUGGCUACCGGCUACACUUCGGAUUACUUGCGGUUACCGGUCGAACCGGCUGUCUUACGAUGAUCUUCGUGCGGGAAAAGUACUGGUCAACGGGGUUGCUACUAAGCACGCGGUCGAUGGGGAUCACGUGUUCUUAGCACUCGAUUUUAUUCUUUUCGGAAUUCUAUUUCCCGGCGCGCGAGGAGUGGACGUGUUGCUCGCUUGAAAUACACACGGGGAUCUGGGUUCGGCUGCCGUGUUCGGUGAAGACUCCAGAGAUAUCAUUUCUCUGCGAUCCUCUCCAUCUGAUGAUCUCUGCUUGGGAACCUUAAACUUGGGAAUGUGUGCAGUGGAGUAUUGGUUUUUGCUGCUACCACAAGCGUGGCUCUGGGUGAAUCUGUGUCACCCUUUCGGGGACCAUUCGUUCUACCGCAAUGUAUUGGGUCUUUGCCUCUUUUCGGUUUUUUUUUUUUUUUGUUUUGUUGUAUUAAACCAAUACUCUACUGUACACAAUCCUCUGUAUUAGUUCCCUUAGUCACGUCAGACAAUUGAAAGUGAACCGUGCGACCAUUCAGUGAUAUGAUACCAGUAUCAAGUUUUUCGAGAAGAGCAGCGACAAAAGUUUCUUCAUGAGCAUACGCCAAGGCAUACGCUUUCGAAAGCAGAAUCAAUUAAAUAUUAUCUCUUACUAAAUUUACAUGCCAUCAAAUUCUCGAUAAUAAAAAUAAUAGAGCUAAUAAACUGUAGAGGAAGAAUGUCGCUGGCGUCGCCGCCGCAACAUCUCUUGCUGGCGGAGAUAGGCAGGGAUAUAAGUGUCAAAGCGAACAAGUAUGCAGUUUGACAGAUAGAUACCCGACAUGUUCCCGAGCGAGAACAAAGGGAACACCAUCGAUAUUCGUCUUCUAUAGUUUAUUAACUCUAUUAUAAAAAUAAAUAUUUGUAAUGCGUUUAUUCACAGAGAACAGACACCCAGGCUAGAACAAAUUUCAAUCAGAAAGUUGUGUAAGGAUUUGAAUCUUCACUUGAAUAAGGUUACAAACCGAUAUACGAUGACACCACUAACGCCGCCAAACACCAUAUUGCUACAGUCAGUGGUCAAUUGAAACAUUUCAAGUGAUGAAUUUAAUUAGUAUGAGAAAUUAACCGAUUGCAGCGCCACGGUAUUGCCACUUGUAUUGCCGAUUUCAAAUGGCCGUUAAAUUCCUUACACAGUUUCGAAACUGGACUUGGAUGUCUGUUCUCUGUGGUUUAUUGUCGAUUGCAAUACCGUUCAAACAACGCAUUCCUACAAACGAUAAACAUGUUCAUUUGGAUCACACUUUGACAGUUCUCUCUGCUCGAUUGGCUUACAAUGGCCGCUUCCGCACAUCUCUAUAAUGUAGGAUUACUAGUCUACAUGCAAUACAAACAUUUUCCGUCCGGUAAAAGGUUCAACUUCUAGCAGCCGAAUAUUAUAACCAAGCAAGUCUUUCAACGUUUGUCAAAUAACCGGGAUGCACGCCUGCAGCUCUUAUGGAGGACCCCAAUCCUUUCGCCACAGUCGAGCCAUUCCUGCCAGCGAUCUGCAGUCAUCCCGGCAGGCAAGUAUAUGUGCAAUAAGAACAUUUUCCCUCCGGUAACUUCAGCUAUUUCCAGCUAUUCAUCGAGCAUCCGCCAGCUUUACCGCCUUCAUUAUGUUCACCAUCACCGUUUGUCAAGUCUCCGAAAUGCACGCCUGCAAGUCAAAUGGAAGCUACUCCUGACAGCGUCUUGCAGCCAACCCGGUCCUGUGUAUUGUCCAUGCAGUUGAAUCCCGGAGUUUUCGACUAGCGAAGUUGGAUUUUUCUCCAAAUCCGUGCGUUGGGCCUAACUUCGGAAGUGGUACGCUGUAAAGCGGACCAGGUUUACUAUACAGCGCACCACUUCCGAAGUUAGGUCCGACGCAUGGAUUUGGAGAAAAAUCCAACUUCGCUAGUCGAAAACUCCGAUGUUCAACUAAAUUGAGAAUAUACGGUAGGUGGGAGGGUCUUUCAACCCGUCCUAGCAGGCAAGUACAGUAAAGCUUCGACAAAUGCUCUGCCUGAUGUUAGUGCAUAUUCUAGCGGCAUGACCCAGAACGACAACCUAGCACUUCCUCCAGUGUCUGUUCAACCACUUCCGGAUUACAGUCAUACCAGCCGUGCUAUCGUAGAAGAACACGCUGUCAACUGCCAUGACGCUACAACAGUCGAUUCCAAUUUGCUGCUGUAUUACCAAAACGUUGGGGGUAUUAACAACCCUCUCGCUAAUUUUCAGCAAGCCUUCCCGCAUAGAAAAAUACAUUAUGCCAUACAGUCCAAACAAUUAAUUACCUCUAUCUGUUAAGAUGACUCUAUAUUUCAUGGCUAAUUUUGUGUUAAACAAUAUGGAGCAUGAGAAUGAUAACAGUAAGAAUGAUCUAUGUCAAAUAACGACAGUAUACUAAGUAUACUAAAGCAUCCAUAAUUUGUUAAAUGGUAUGGAAUGCGAACUUGCAUGAAAUGGUGACAAUGUAUCACCACCUUCUAUCAGAUGGUAAGUUUUUGUGUUUGCGCAACCCACUAGCACCUACACAUCACACUGUGUAUCACGUUUUUUCAACAGUAUUGAGUUGUCCAAAAAAUGUCUCAUGAAACCUACUGCAAGCCUAUCCAUAUACGUGAGAACAAAAGAUGUUUACAAAGUUCUUACAGAUAGAUUAACACGGGAAAUCUGAACACAAACCACUACCACACAGGCAUUUGGAUUGGUCAAUGGCAUACAGUUUGGCACAUUUGUAUUUGUAAACAACGAAAAUGCAACGCGUUCGCUGCCAGCAGUGCUUGUAUUUUUUUUAUUCCUCGGAAUUGCGGAUCUUCGUCAUUUUGCGGAUCUUCCCCGGCAACAUAUUCCAGCGCCCAAGGCCGACAAGCUGGUCAAAAAACUCCCCGCCGUGUCUUCGAAGAGAAUGGAAUCGUAGAUGGAAACUUUCACGAAAUCAAAGUUCGGAAUGCAAAAAAACACGCUGGAGGAAUUCUGGAUCCGGCACAUUACAAGGUCAUGCAUUCCGGUUGCUCGCAUAGGUAGGACACCAGCGGGUUUUGUCUUCAUGAGUGGUUCACCGGAUCUGAACGGGCUAGGCAGCACCAUCAGCCAGGGAAUGUAGAAGAAGUGCACAUCGGCAGAUCCUCCGGCAGAACAGUCAAAAAGCAGAUGCGAGAAAUCCGUGGAAACUGGGUACCCAAGUAACACAUUUUGUUAUAUAAAUGUAUAAAAUACACGCUUCAUACAAAUCCCAAUGUUAGGUCACGAAUACGAAAAACCAAAAUUCAUACACUUAUAUCACCGAAAAAGCGCAAAAAAUGGCGGAUUAUACAACAUCUUUGAUGUUUUAAAAGAUGUUUUUCAAUA
Molecule: long non-coding RNA, 4168 nt
Organism: Aedes albopictus (Asian tiger mosquito)
Lineage: Eukaryota; Metazoa; Arthropoda; Insecta; Diptera; Culicidae
Exons: 2
Source: RefSeq, a predicted model, not a curated record